UUAUCUUGAAUCUCAUUAACAAGCUUGACCAGCCUUUCUUGUUGACAUGGUAUACACUGGUUCUUCUCAUUUUACACUUUGUUCUUUGCAUAUGAAUCUAGGAAAUGAUGGAAGCAUGAGUGAAGAAGAUGAACCAAGUUACAACGAAGAUGGAAAUGGUUAGAAGUGCAAAGGCAAGAAUGGAUGGCCAUGGAAGAGAAUGAAGGACAAUGUAGUUUGGCUUCUAAUAGCAGUGGUGGUGGAGAAGAUGGGGAGAGGGAGAGAAAAUCAAAGUAGG
This 277-nucleotide long non-coding RNA is filed under the name Gossypium barbadense (sea-island cotton). RNAcentral describes it as "long non-coding RNA (GBAR_LNC020337)". Lineage: Eukaryota; Viridiplantae; Streptophyta; Magnoliopsida; Malvales; Malvaceae. The record is from RNAcentral.